This 98-nucleotide ribosomal RNA is filed under the name Colletotrichum boninense. RNAcentral's name for it is "partial 5.8S ribosomal RNA". It matches the Rfam family "5.8S ribosomal RNA", at positions 58 to 154 of the family's 154-position model. From Rfam's summary of the family: 5.8S ribosomal RNA (5.8S rRNA) is a component of the large subunit of the eukaryotic ribosome. It is transcribed by RNA polymerase I as part of the 45S precursor that also contains 18S and 28S rRNA. Lineage: Eukaryota; Fungi; Ascomycota; Sordariomycetes; Glomerellales; Glomerellaceae. The record is from RNAcentral.
GAUAGUAUGUGAAUUGCAGAAUUCAGUGAAUCAUCGAAUCUUUGAACGCACAUUGCGCCCGCCAGCAUUCUGGCGGGCAUGCCUGUUCGAGCGUCAUU